UCGGAGACGGUGCUCGUGCGGGCGGUGAUGCGACACGCGUAUCCGAAAGACUCUCGGCAACGGAUAUCUCGGCUCUUGCAUCGAUGAAGAACGUAGCGAAAUGCGAUACUUGGUGUGAAUUGCAGAAUCCCGUGAACCAUCGAGUCUUUGAACGCAAGUUGCGCCCGAAGCCAUUUGGCCGAGGGCACGCCUGCCUGGGUGUCGCCCAUCGUUGCCCCAGUGCCUUGGCCUCGUGCUAGGCACCGAGCUGGGCGAAUGCUGGCUUCCCGUGAGCAACGCCUCACGGUUGGUUGAAAACUGAGUCCGUGGUGGAGGGGCGCCGUGACGGAUGGUGGUUGAG
Molecule: ribosomal RNA, 340 nt
Filed under: Crotalaria obscura
Lineage: Eukaryota; Viridiplantae; Streptophyta; Magnoliopsida; Fabales; Fabaceae
Description: 5.8S ribosomal RNA
Rfam family: 5.8S ribosomal RNA (bases 49-204)
Source: RNAcentral